RNAcentral lists this ribosomal RNA (483 nucleotides) under uncultured bacterium. RNAcentral's name for it is "partial 16S ribosomal RNA". It matches the Rfam family "Bacterial small subunit ribosomal RNA", at positions 30 to 506 of the family's 1533-position model. The record is from RNAcentral.
AUUGAACGCUGGCGGCAUGCUUUACACAUGCAAGUCGAACGGCAGCACGGGCUUCGGCCUGGUGGCGAGUGGCGAACGGGUGAGUACUAUAUCGGAACGUACCCAGAAGUGGGGGAUAACGUAGCGAAAGUUACGCUAAUACCGCAUACGAUCUAUGGAUGAAAGCAGGGGACCGCAAGGCCUUGUGCUCCUGGAGCGGCCGAUAUCUGAUUAGCUAGUUGGUGAGGUAAAGGCUCACCAAGGCGACGAUCAGUAGCUGGUCUGAGAGGACGACCAGCCACACUGGAACUGAGACACGGUCCAGACUCCUACGGGAGGCAGCAGUGGGGAAUUUUGGACAAUGGGCGCAAGCCUGAUCCAGCAAUGCCGCGUGAGUGAAGAAGGCCUUCGGGUUGUAAAGCUCUUUUGUCAGGGAAGAAACGGUAGAGGCUAAUAUCCUUUGCUAAUGACGGUACCUGAAGAAUAAGCACCGGCUAACUACGU